AUUGAACGCUGGCGGCAGGCCUAACACAUGCAAGUCGAACGGUAACAGGAAGAAGCUUGCUUCUUUGCUGACGAGUGGCGGACGGGUGAGUAAUGUCUGGGAAACUUCCUGAUGGAGGGGGAUAACUACUGGAAACGGUAGCUAAUACCGCAUAACGUCGCAAGACCAAAGAGGGGGACCUUCGGGCCUCUUGCCAUCGGAUGUGCCCAGAUGGGAUUAGCUAGUAGGUGGGGUAACGGCUCACCUAGGCGACGAUCCCUAGCUGGUCUGAGAGGAUGACCAGCCACACUGGAAGUGAGACACGGUCCAGACUCCUAAGGGAGGCAGCAGUGGGGAAUAUUGCACAAUGGGCGCAAGCCUGAUGCAGCCAUGCCGCGUGUAUGAAGAAGGCCUUCGGGUUGUAAAGUACUUUCAGCGGGGAGGAAGGGAGUAAAGUUAAUACCUUGGCUCAUUGACGUUACCCGCAGAAGAAGCACCGGCUAACUACGUG
Molecule: ribosomal RNA, 490 nt
Filed under: uncultured bacterium
Lineage: Bacteria
Description: partial 16S ribosomal RNA
Rfam family: Bacterial small subunit ribosomal RNA
Source: RNAcentral